RNAcentral lists this ribosomal RNA (405 nucleotides) under uncultured Limnohabitans sp. RNAcentral describes it as "bacterial SSU rRNA". It matches the Rfam family "Bacterial small subunit ribosomal RNA", at positions 1 to 408 of the family's 1533-position model. The record is from RNAcentral. Lineage: Bacteria; Pseudomonadati; Pseudomonadota; Betaproteobacteria; Burkholderiales; Comamonadaceae.
UGACGAGUUUGAUCCUGGCUCAGAUUGAACGCUGGCGGAAUGCUUUACACAUGCAAGUCGAACGGUAGAGGGGGCAACCCCUUGAGAGUGGCGAACGGGUGAGUAAUCUAUCGGAACGUGCCCAGUCGUGGGGGAUAACGUAGCGAAAGUUACGCUAAUACCGCAUACGAUCUAAGGAUGAAAGCGGGGACUCGCAAGAGCCUCGCGCGAUUGGAGCGGCCGAUGUCAGAUUAGCUAGUUGGUGGGGUAAAACGCCCGACCAAGGCGACGAUCUGUAGCUGGUCUGAGAGGACGACCAGCCACACUGGAACUGAGACACGGUCCAGACUCCGUACGGGAGGCAGCGAGUGGGGUAAUUUUGGACAAGUGGGCGAAAGCCGUGAUGCAGCGACGCCGCGUGCGGAU